This 497-nucleotide ribosomal RNA is filed under the name uncultured bacterium. RNAcentral describes it as "partial 16S ribosomal RNA". It matches the Rfam family "Bacterial small subunit ribosomal RNA", at positions 28 to 507 of the family's 1533-position model. The record is from RNAcentral.
GAUGAACGCUGGCGGCGUGCCUAAUACAUGCAAGUCGAGCGAACGGACGAGAAGCUUGCUUCUCUGAUGUUAGCGGCGGACGGGUGAGUAACACGUGGAUAACCUACCUAUAAGACUGGGAUAACUUCGGGAAACCGGAGCUAAUACCGGAUAAUAUUUUGAACCGCAUGGUUCAAAAGUAAAAGACGGUCUUGCUGUCACUUAUAGAUGGAUCCGCGCUGCAUUAGCUAGUUGGUAAGGUAACGGCUUACCAAGGCAACGAUGGAUAGCCGACCUGAGAGGGUGAUCGGCCACACUGGAACUGAGACACGGUCCAGACUCCUACGGGAGGCAGCAGUAGGGAAUCUUCCGCAAUGGGCGAAAGCCUGACGGGGCAACGCCGCGUGAGUGAUGAAGGUCUUCGGAUCGUAAAACUCUGUUAUUAGGGAAGAACAUAUGUGUAAGUAACUGUGCACAUCUUGACGGUACCUAAUCAGAAAGCCACGGCUAACUACGUG